RNAcentral lists this transfer RNA (60 nucleotides) under Methylobacterium sp. Leaf119. Its description in RNAcentral is "tRNA-Pro". It matches the Rfam family "tRNA", at positions 1 to 57 of the family's 71-position model. From Rfam's summary of the family: Transfer RNA (tRNA) molecules are approximately 80 nucleotides in length. Their secondary structure includes four short double-helical elements and three loops (D, anti-codon, and T loops). Further hydrogen bonds mediate the characteristic L-shaped molecular structure. tRNAs have two regions of fundamental functional importance: the anti-codon, which is responsible for specific mRNA codon recognition, and the 3' end, to which the tRNAs corresponding amino acid is attached (by aminoacyl-tRNA synthetases). tRNAs cope with the degeneracy of the genetic code in two manners: having more than one tRNA (with a specific anti-codon) for a particular amino acid; and 'wobble' base-pairing, i.e. permitting non-standard base-pairing at the 3rd anti-codon position. The record is from RNAcentral. Lineage: Bacteria; Pseudomonadati; Pseudomonadota; Alphaproteobacteria; Hyphomicrobiales; Methylobacteriaceae.
CGGAGUGUAGCGCAGUCUGGUAGCGCACCACGUUCGGGACGUGGGGGUCGCAGGUUCAAA